UACAGAGGUGGCGAGCGUUAUUCGGAAUUACUGGGCGUAAAGGGCUCGUAGGCGGCCAACUAAGUCAGACGUGAAAUCCCUCGGCUUAACCGGGGAACUGCGUCUGAUACUGGAUGGCUUGAGGUUGGGAGAGGGAUGCGGAAUUCCAGGUGUAGCGGCGAAAUGCGUAGAUAUCUGGAGGAACACCGGUGGCGAAGGCGGCAUCCUGGACCAAUUCUGACGCUGAGGAGCGAAAGCCAGGGGAGCAAACGGG
This 253-nucleotide ribosomal RNA is filed under the name uncultured bacterium. RNAcentral's name for it is "partial 16S ribosomal RNA". It matches the Rfam family "Bacterial small subunit ribosomal RNA", at positions 524 to 776 of the family's 1533-position model. The record is from RNAcentral.